UCUUGCUCUAUUAGCAGAGCACGUUCAAAGUUGAUCUUGUUUGUUGGGUCACUCAAGAGAGCUGUUUAUCCAACUGAUUUGGGUGAGGACACUUGGAGAUGUCUUUGAAGUUGUAAUGGCCAUGCCCAUCUGUGUAUAGGAAAGGAAAUUGACUUGAAUCCAUAAAAGGCGACUGAUUUGUAUCAAAACUAAGUCAUUUUUAUUUACCGAGGAGAGAUCUAUGAUAAUCAUUUAUCUCUCCUCGGUAAAUAAAAAUGACUUA
Molecule: unclassified non-coding RNA, 262 nt
Filed under: Hevea brasiliensis (rubber tree)
Lineage: Eukaryota; Viridiplantae; Streptophyta; Magnoliopsida; Malpighiales; Euphorbiaceae
Source: RNAcentral